CCAGUGAGUCCAACCUGGCUCAAAUCACACUGCCAGUUGGUGCUUAUGUAGCCAGCAAUUCACGGCUAUCACUUCCUUUUCCUUGCAGCUCCAGUGGAGCAGGUACUGUGCAGCGCUGUGCUCCAGCUCUAACCCCAGAGCAGCGUAUGGUAAAGCCAUCAGGGCCAGCGUCCCUUUGAAGAGGGGACCCAAAGAAACACAACAGCUCCGAACACUAUGCCUCGUCUCCCUUUUCCACCAAGAUGUUACACAUGCUGCUCCACUCUACAUCAGGCCCAUUUGGUGGUUGUCCUCUGAGGAAUGUGAAGACUGCAGUGUCCUGAUGUCGUCCUUUGUGCUAACUAAUGUCAUUGUCAUGUCGUGCUGCCACGUGAGGAGGCUUCACAGAGACAC
This is a long non-coding RNA of Notolabrus celidotus (New Zealand spotty), 393 nucleotides long. RefSeq lists it as uncharacterized. NCBI's taxonomy places the organism in Eukaryota, Metazoa, Chordata, Actinopteri, Labriformes, Labridae. The transcript has 3 exons. The record is from RefSeq and is a predicted model, not a curated record.